AUUGAACGCUGGCGGCAUGCCUUACACAUGCAAGUCGAACGGCAGCGGACCUUCGGGUGCCGGCGAGUGGCGAACGGGUGAGUAAUAUAUCGGAACGUACCUUUCAGUGGGGGAUAACGUAGCGAAAGUUACGCUAAUACCGCAUAUUCUGUGAGCAGGAAAGCAGGGGAUCGCAAGACCUUGCGCUGAUUGAGCGGCCGAUAUCAGAUUAGCUAGUUGGUGAGGUAAAGGCUCACCAAGGCGACGAUCUGUAGCGGGUCUGAGAGGAUGAUCCGCCACACUGGAACUGAGACACGGUCCAGACUCCUACGGGAGGUAGCAGUGGGGAAUUUUGGACAAUGGGCGCAAGCCUGAUCCAGCCAUGCCGCGUGAGUGAAGAAGGCC
This 384-nucleotide ribosomal RNA is filed under the name uncultured bacterium. RNAcentral describes it as "bacterial SSU rRNA". It matches the Rfam family "Bacterial small subunit ribosomal RNA", at positions 30 to 416 of the family's 1533-position model. The record is from RNAcentral.